Molecule: long non-coding RNA, 785 nt
Filed under: Scophthalmus maximus (turbot)
Lineage: Eukaryota; Metazoa; Chordata; Actinopteri; Pleuronectiformes; Scophthalmidae
Description: lncRNA (ENSSMAG00000022337.1)
Source: RNAcentral
GCUGGACUCUGAACCCCCUGGUUUGAUAGUUUAGCCUUUGUCAGAGUCAAUAUUGCUUCGUACGUUCAUCGCUGGACUUCGUAUCACAGCACAUUUUUGAACUUUUCCCGCCUUCAGGGUCCGUUUGUUACUAAAACCCUGAACAGUUUUGCGGCAUCUGUGUCUUACUGUUUCUUCAGUGUCUCCACAGAUUUCUUCUCCAUCUCCAGUCGGGCUGCUACCAGCUUCUUCACCUUGGCCUCAAACAGCUCCGCACCCCUUGGGGACAGAGAGGAAGAUUCACUAAAUUCACACACAAAUUGUCACCUGCAGCCUGCAGACAAGGAAAUACCCAUGUCUUCCUUACAAUUAAAGCCAUAUUACAGAGUUCUUUCCAAUACACUCCCAUUUGUAUUCACGCUCUCUGUAAACUGGAGGAUGACGAGCGUGUGUGGAGAACAGACCUGGAGGCCAAUAUCUUGGACGACUUGAGGUCCGACACCACGUAGAGGAAGUAGUAGCUGAGGAAGACCCUCCUCUGCGCCAGGAGCACAGUGAAACAGAUGGCGUCCCAGACGAUUCCGGCCUCGCCCUCCGGCAGCUCGCACUCAUCAUCAGGAACAGCUGACACGCGGGACAGGAGAAGUGUGUUGUAUAUGUACACGCUUUGAAUGACAUCAAGUCCAACACUUAUCUUAGUUUUAACAUUAAUCUGCGGAAAUAAAAUGAGUUAAGAUGCAACACACAGCUUCUUAUAAUAUUGUUAUGUGGCAUGAUUGUGACAGCUAGGUAGUGUAUAACAAAUU